AAUGUUAAAAAGGAAGAGGAAAGAAGCUGUUUGCAGAGGUGCAUCCACUCUCUUCCACUCUUGCUAUGCUCGGUGAUCAAAUGGGAGCGGUCUUUCUCAUGUUUCUGCUCCUCAUUUGCCUCCUGCAUGUAAGAUUAUAACAACAUCUGCUCCGAACCUCUGUAGGCAUCUACACAAAGUAUUCCCCCUCCGGUCCUCCCAGAGCACACACCCGAUGGAAGGAGAAAAAAAUGCCCUUUCCUACAACUCCAGCCAGCCCGUCCUGCUUGGACCAUCCACGCUGGUGGUGUGUUGUCUGCCUGGGAGCUCCUGCAGCCCUGCCUGCGUGGAGGAACAAGGAUGUGAUAAUACCGGGCCCUGGAGCUGCAAAUGCAGAACGAACCAAGGAGUAAAAGAAUUGACAAGACAAGCAGUGGUGGGAAAUGGAGGGAAGACUGUG
Molecule: long non-coding RNA, 439 nt
Filed under: Gallus gallus (chicken)
Lineage: Eukaryota; Metazoa; Chordata; Aves; Galliformes; Phasianidae
Description: long non-coding RNA NONGGAT003565
Source: RNAcentral